Molecule: long non-coding RNA, 2612 nt
Organism: Clupea harengus (Atlantic herring)
Lineage: Eukaryota; Metazoa; Chordata; Actinopteri; Clupeiformes; Clupeidae
Source: Ensembl
GAUUUAGUCAUGUGUACUGCAUAUGGAAUAAAAUCAACGAUAUUGUUGUUCUCUUCCAUGGAGAAUGGUUUUAUUGUGCACAUUUAUGUAGCGUGAGUUUCCACUUCAGUUAACGUAGCCUGCCUAGCCUGCUGGAAAAGUUACAUUUUCAUUCAAUAAUAAGGAGUAAACUACGCAAUUCUGUGUACUUGUAGGUUGCGAAAGGUCAUGAAAAUAUAAUUAAAUGUCCUUGAAAACUCCUUGAAAAAUGGGUGGGAACCCUGGACAUAAAGGAAGGCAUUAUUUUGCUGUUAAACAAUAAGUAUGCAUCCAAAUGGUUUCAGAGAGACUUUUGCAGUAGGCAUAUAUACUCUGGGAAAAGAGAUCUGAUGGACUUUGUAAAUCAUCCCAAGUAACCAGAGGUAUAUGAAACAUCUGUCAUUUCACACACCUACAGUGUUUGCAUGAACACUUCCACUGUCACGCCAAGCUUUCGCUGACAUUCCUUUCGUUUUCUAGCUAAGGGCAAACAAAGUGCUGAAAUUAGAAGCUGAGCUAUGACACUACUGACUGGCUUAACGAGCCAAAGCAGAUAACCACAACCACAAUUAGUAUAAUGAGCGGGAUGAACUUAACGUGUGAAGCUUAGCCUAGAACUGAUGACCUAAUCUCUGAACACAGUAAUAGUAUCAGAUAAAUGUGAGAUUUAACCAUGUAACCUAUUUCGACUGAAAAAUAAGAGCAGAAACCAAUGAACCAAUGCCCUUGUUUUAACGGGUCAUGUUAAAAGCCCCCUAUCUAAUAAUGGGAAUAGUUGAUGUUUCUCUUUUCCAGUAAGCCUGUGACAUUAAAUGCUAAAGCAUUUCCUUCAGGAUCUGUGGGUCGCUGUACCGAUGCACGUGAGCUCUGCCCUCUAGCCAGAGCUGCUGGCAGUAACAGAGUGACAGUUUCUGUUUGUUGAUGGUGACAAGGUGGAACUAGCCUUCAACUGCCCCCAUCCUCCAUCACUCACCUAUCAAUCACACUAUAUUCAGCUUCCAUUCGUGAUCCUACGGAUUUCAGUAAAGGCAAGUAUGGCUGUGACUAAUUCUGUUUUCCGUGCGCGCGGUACCACUUCCACUCCAGGCUUACACCCCAGCACCUCAUGCCUGGCCCGCCACAAUCAACCUUUCUCACACAUGCAAGCCUCCACUUGUGCCGAGGGUUCAUCCGAGUCUUGAAAGCUAGUGUGCCAUCUAUGUAUUAUGCAUAGAAAAGACAUGAAACGUAUCCAAGAAACAGACAGGCUACCAGUUCAGGGCAGACCCAAUACUUUCACUCACACAAAAACAGUUUAAUGUACCCACAAGACUUAUUGCCACAACCCCCACCAAUCCACAGAAUCCCCAAAUGGCCGUAGUAGUUCAUUUAUCCAUUCCCGACCAGGCUGCAGUUGUGGGGCACCGACUAAAGGAUGGCUUGUGGGAGCAGAUGCAGUGGAGCUAUGGGGCAGAUGCAGUGGUGCUAUGGCAAUAAGGGGCAGAUGCAAUGGUGCUAUGGGGCAGAUGCAGUGGUGCUAUGGGGCAGAUGCAGUGGUGCUAUGGGGCAGAUGCAGUGGUGCUAUGGCAAUAAGGGGCAGAUGCAAUGGUGCUAUGGGGCAGAUGCAGUGGUGCUAUGGCAAUAAGGGGCAGAUGCAGUGGUGCUAUGGGGCAGAUGCAGUGGUGCUAUGGGGCAGAUGCAGUGGUGCUAUGGCAAUAAUGGGGGCAGAUGCAGUGGUGCUAUGGCAAUAAGGGGCAGUCUGAGGAGCUAAUAAAUAGCCUGUAAGCAGAGCCUGCAGCACCUCAAUGGAACAUUAAUUAAGGCUUGCUCAUAGACAUGACAGAGGACAAAACCGACUUCCCUCUCCUCUUGAAUGUAUCCCAGGGCUUCUCUUUGCUCUUGUAUUGUGUAUUGUUUGUAUUCUCCUGUCUAGAAGGCAUUUCUUUUCGCACAGCUUCAUCUUUGUGAGUAAUUAAGUAACGUUAGCUCAGUGAUAUCUGAAUCAUGUGGAUACUGAAGCAAGCACAUUUGCAUAUGGCUGCUAUCACGUCCAUAUUACUAGACUGCGUGCUAGUUUACAGCACGAGUCUCAUUAAAAACUGUGUGUGCACAGCACACAGCACACAGCACACAGCACACGGAGAGAGAACAUACAGAACAGACAUUUUGACAGUAGGGAAUAAUCACGCGUGCUGCAUAAUUAGGGCAAGGUCAUACAGUGAGGAAGACGUGUACGGUGAAUGUGCAUGCAUGUAGACACCCGCACGUGCAUCAUUCACUGCGCUGGUGGAGUUUUACACUAGCACAGCUCACAUGGGUCAUCCUAUACUCUACACAGGGUGUAGGUUACAGCCAAUGACAUGCUCUCAGUGAAUCGUGGAAUCAUGUGACACACCCCCUAACCAGGGAACCAAUCAACACCUGACUCAUUAUGACCCAUAAGCCUUGCUUGGCUCUGAUUAAUAAUAUACAUGUUGUAUAAUAACCCCUCUUAAAAACAUAAAAACAACACAACUAAAAAAGAACAAUAUCUAAAAGUGUAAAUUAAAGUAAAAGUCAUUUACAUGUUGAAUAAUAAGUAUCUGUUAUUGUCCAGACCACAAAAUGAUAACACA